Molecule: long non-coding RNA, 3540 nt
Filed under: Macaca mulatta (Rhesus monkey)
Lineage: Eukaryota; Metazoa; Chordata; Mammalia; Primates; Cercopithecidae
Description: lncRNA (ENSMMUG00000050874.1)
Source: RNAcentral
AGUGCCUGCAGCUCCAGUUACACGGCCGGCUGGGCAAGGGGGGUGCGCCAGCUCUGGGAAGGGCCCACGGAGCUGCUGGCCCGGCUGACGUGCCCCCAUCCAUUGCAUGCCCAGGGCAGGCAACAGGGAGCCAGCCAGCAGAGCGAGAAGAUGGGGAAACUGAGGCCCAGAGAAGUGAGCAAGAAGCCUUGGCAUGAGUUACAAGGAGAAAGUACAGGAUUCAGAAGGCACCAGUCUGGGCUCUGAGGAGCCAUGGGGAGCAGCAGAGAUGAGGUCCCUGCUUUUUCUGUUAUGGAGAGACCAGGAUUGACCUUCAGCCACCACCCACUACUGCCUUUACUUGGUGCCACACUGCACCCCUGAGAGAUCUGGACCUUAAACAAGCAAACAAAUAUGUAAAAAGACACAUUCCCAAAGUGAUCCUGCCGUGAUGAAGACAGACGGGAUACUGAACGGAUAGGAGCGGGGCAGGCACAUUUAAGCCAGCGUGGAUAGCCAGGAAACCUCUUUGGAGAUACAGUUUAAGUUGUGGAGAAAAAGAUAGAUGGUGGCUAUCUGGGGGAAGAGAUUCCAGGUGGAGGAAAUGGCAGGUGCCAAGGCCCUGAGGCAGGAACGUGUUUGGCAUACUUCAGGAGCAAUGAGCUGGCUGGCACGAUGCAACCCAGAGUGAACUCCAGUUCAGAGCGCGGGUGGAGAUGAGGCUGGCGUUAAGGAUCCCAGGAAGAAAGCCUACCUCCCCAAAGGGUAUCAGCUCUUCCAAAGCAUGGGGAAUUCUGUUUGAAGGAGGAAACAAAUGUAGCACGGAUCACUUUUAAUCCUAGAACAUUUUGCAUAAAAACUCACAGCUCUGGGAGUAGGAACUGGUAUCAUGAAUCAAACAUCAAAAAUGCUCACUCUGAACAGGCAAUUUUGCUUCAAGACACUGAUUCUCAGGAAGCAGCAUUAGAUGUAGACAAAGAUUUAGUGGCAAGGGUGAUCAGGGGCAUGUUCACCACAGCAGGGAAAACCAAGGAAACACUGCAGUGUUGAUGGAGGGUUUGGCUGCACAUAUUACACCCUGCCAAGGCGCCGGAUACUAUGCGGCCAUGUGAAAUGGUGUUAUAGAGAAAUGUUUAACAGCACAAAUUCAUGAGCACUAUAUACUGUUAAAAUGAAAAACAGCAUGGUUCUUUCUUUCUAAAUAUACAUAUGUAUGUAUGGGCAUAAGAAAAGAGAUUAGCAAUGCUAAUGACCAUCUCUGUGAGAGGGGCUUGCAGGCAAGUAUUCUUGUCCUCCUUUUGUUUAUCUCAAUAUUUUUUCACCUAAAAGCCACUUCAGUUCCCGAGUUAAGUUCACAGGGAAAGUUUAAAGAGAUGCAUGGCUUUGUGGUCCUAUAGCCAAGAGGGGUCCCAGAAUGGUGGCCUCAUGACUCUGGUCACUGGGAUGGGUCAGUCUGCCAUCUGCAGUCCUCUGGUGAUGCAGUACCUAUCCUUUCAUGCCCUCAUGUGCCAAGCCCUGUGUCCAAGCUUACCCCACACAACUUCCAAUCUGGGAGAUACUACUGACAUCUGACAGAUGGGGAAACUGAGGCUCAGGGAAGGGUGGCAGCCUACCCAAGGUUUCACAGUUAAGCAUCGCCAAAGCUGGGGCCCAAACUCAACCAGAAUCUGGAAGCCUAUGAUUCGAUGAGAGCACAACUUACUCUACCCACCCACUCACCAUUUCUCAGUUCCAGCCAUGUGCCGGGCCCUGUGUAGGGCAGCUCUACACAUGCCCUCACCAUGAUGGGAAACUAGGCACAGAGAGGUUAAACAAUUUGCCUGAGGCUACCCAGCCUAGAAGUGGCAGAGCCUGGAGACCUGACUCCCCACUGCACACUCCAGCCUCCAUAUUGGGGGAAGUCCAGAGGGAGCCAGGAGGAUAACUGCCUUCUAUUCCUAACGACUUGGUGGGGAAGCUGAGGCAGUUGUGAGUGAUUGCAGGGAGCUGCUGAUGACCCACUUUCCAGACAGUCCAGUCUCCCUGUCUGAACCUCCCAAGAGAUUGAGAGGCUUGGGUGGGAACUGAUCAAAGGUCUCCAUUAGAGGUGCUGUCAGAGCCCUGGAGUUCCAAGGAAGCCCAGAGAGGGGUGGUGACUUGUCCAAGGUCACACAGCCCAAGAGCAGCAAGGCAAGGCCUAUAAGCCUCCCUUCCCCAGACACAACAGGCUGGAGUAAGGGGACUGUCAAGGAGAAGGAAGGAGAGAGCCUGCAUCUUCCAGGCAGAGAUUCCUCACGUCUGGCAAUCACGUCAUCGGCGGGGACGCCGCAGCCCCCGGAGUCACCGUCCCCGUCCUUCAUGACCUCAUCUCUUGGCUGGGACCCAGCCCAGAGCCUGGUGCCUGGAAUCAAUACCUCUUGGCAGCGCCUAAGGCCCCCUUGUCUUCCUGCCCCCACCCUGGGCAGCCCGGCCUAGCGCCUCGACCUCCCUCCCACGCCCAUCACAGAAGGCUGGAAGCCAGCACUGAAAUCCUCAGGCAGCGCAAACUCUUUCCCUCCCCAGCAGCUCGCCUGUGCUGAGCUCACUGUAGGUGGGAGGAAGGAGGCUCUGCUCAAAUCCAGACAUCUCCCCACAAUUGCCACCCCAUGGGGGCAGCUCACAUGGCCUCCUUGAGCCUGGGUUUCCCUGUGUGACUAAGGGGGGGAUGAAUCCAACUUACUGGAUGGCCAUGAGGUUCCACUGUCAAACACAGAGCCUGGCAAACAGCAGGGACUUCAUACACACUAAGUCCCUCCUCUCCUUAGUCUGGAUGCUUAAUAAAGCAAGUUCAAGGCUUGCUUAAUAAAGGCAAGUUCAAGUUAAUUGUUAUCACAGUUAACAGCAACCAUGUGAGGGAAGCAGGGGAACCAAUGACUCCUCUUUACAGAUGGGAAAGUGGAGGUUUGGGGAGGGUAACAUGGAAACAGGCUUUGAACGCAGCACUUUAUGACUUCAAAAUGCGGCUCAGGGCUGUGUCUCAGCACCUGGGCUGGAGAGCUCUUACAGAACAUGUCACCCAACCCACACACCUGUUCACAGGUGGGGAAACUAUGGUUCAGAAAGGUCAAGGGAGCGCUGAAGGUCAGAGAGCUAGUCAGAGAUGGGGCUGGGUGUCUACACUCCAGGCCUGUGGGGACUGGGAAUCUUCAAGGCCUGCAAUCUGGAGGAGGCUGUGACAGGAUGGUUCCUCCUCUGUAGCCACCCACUCGUUUGGUCCCUGUGCAUUAGCGGGAAUCUGCCAUGUGUCCAUCCAGCGAGAGGGCCUGUCCCCAUCACCCCGCCCUGGGGAUUGAUAUCCUUGUAUCAGCUUUGACCAGGACGUUGUGGCUUCUCGAGGGUUUGGAAGUGUGUCCCUGCUUCCCAGGCCCCAACAGCUUCAGAGCAUUGGGACAGAGUGUCCCAGCAGGGGCUAAGAGAGGUGAGGCCCCGCACCAGCUGAGGCUGUAGAGUCAACGCAGGUAACAGAAGGGAGAUGAGAGAGGCAGCUCGACUGCUCCUGUUGGUGUUUUUGUAUUGUUUUUCGAAAAAAAUAACAAAUCCAGA